This 467-nucleotide ribosomal RNA is filed under the name uncultured bacterium. Its description in RNAcentral is "bacterial SSU rRNA". It matches the Rfam family "Bacterial small subunit ribosomal RNA", at positions 330 to 797 of the family's 1533-position model. The record is from RNAcentral.
GCCAGACUCCUACGGGAGGCAGCAGUGAGGAAUAUUGGUCAAUGGCCGUAAGGCUGAACCAGCCAAGUAGCGUGAGGGAAGACUGCCCUAUGGGUUGUAAACCUCUUUUGUCAGGGAGCAAAGGGCGCCACGUGUGGCGUUUUGCGAGUACCUGAAGAAAAAGCAUCGGCUAACUCCGUGCCAGCAGCCGCGGUAAUACGGAGGAUGCGAGCGUUAUCCGGAUUUAUUGGGUUUAAAGGGUGCGCAGGCGGAAUGUCAAGUCAGCGGUAAAAUUUCGGGGCUCAACCCCGUCGUGCCGUUGAAACUGGCGUUCUUGAGUGAGCGAGAAGUAUGCGGAAUGCGUGGUGUAGCGGUGAAAUGCAUAGAUAUCACGCAGAACUCCGAUUGCGAAGGCAGCAUACCGGCGCUCAACUGACGCUCAUGCACGAAAGCGUGGGUAUCGAACAGGAUUAGAUACCCGUGUACUG